AACGAACGCUGGCGGCAUGCCUAACACAUGCAAGUCGAACGAUGCCUUCGGGCAUAGUGGCGCACGGGUGCGUAACGCGUGGGAAUCUGCCCUUGGGUUCGGAAUAACUCAGAGAAAUUUGAGCUAAUACCGGAUGAUGACGUAAGUCCAAAGAUUUAUCGCCCAAGGAUGAGCCCGCGUAAGAUUAGCUAGUUGGUGGGGUAAAGGCCUACCAAGGCGACGAUCUUUAGCUGGUCUGAGAGGAUGAUCAGCCACACUGGGACUGAGACACGGCCCAGACUCCUACGGGAGGCAGCAGUGGGGAAUAUUGGACAAUGGGCGAAAGCCUGAUCCAGCAAUGCCGCGUGAGUGAUGAAGGCCUUAGGGUUGUAAAGCUCUUUUACCCGUGACGAUGGUGACGGUAACGGGGGAAUAAGCUCCGGCUAACUUCGUGCCAGCAGCCGCGUAAU
RNAcentral lists this ribosomal RNA (449 nucleotides) under uncultured bacterium. Its description in RNAcentral is "bacterial SSU rRNA". It matches the Rfam family "Bacterial small subunit ribosomal RNA", at positions 29 to 524 of the family's 1533-position model. The record is from RNAcentral.